Molecule: long non-coding RNA, 348 nt
Filed under: Citrus sinensis (sweet orange)
Lineage: Eukaryota; Viridiplantae; Streptophyta; Magnoliopsida; Sapindales; Rutaceae
Description: long non-coding RNA (CSIN_LNC004122)
Source: RNAcentral
UUUUGGUCGGCCUUGCUUCCCUCUUUUGCCCUUUGCAGCUUUCUGCCAAUUCUUUCCCGUUUUCCUACCUUUGGGAGGCACCCAUGGAAGGGCCACUGGGAAGAGAGUGGAGAUUGGCUGGUCACUAUUCUUGAUCUGGAAGUAAAGGGCUUCUAGCUGCAGCAUUUGGAACCACUGUCUAUAUGCAAAAAGUUGCGAGGCUUGUCUGAAGAAGAGCUUGAGGAUAUGCUCCUUCUCAGCAUAGGCUUCCUUUGCUGCCGUCUCUGCUUCCCUUGCUCGUGUUUGAGAAUGUCGGAGAGCUUCUAAUAGUUGAGCCUUGCAAGGGUCACCCUCAGAAACUUCUUGUGU